This 371-nucleotide ribosomal RNA is filed under the name uncultured bacterium. RNAcentral's name for it is "bacterial SSU rRNA". It matches the Rfam family "Bacterial small subunit ribosomal RNA", at positions 527 to 898 of the family's 1533-position model. The record is from RNAcentral.
GAACCGUGCGAACGUUGUUCGGAAUCACUGGGCUUAAAGGGCGCGUAGGCGGUCUACCAAGUCGGGGUUGAAAUCUUUCGGCUCAACCGGAAAAGUGGCUUCGAUACUGGUAGGCUGGAGGGAGGUAGGGGCGGAUGGAACUUCCGGUGGAGCGGUGAAAUGUGUUGAUAUCGGAAGGAACGCCGGUGGCGAAAGCGAUCCGCUGGACCUCUUCUGACGCUGAGGCGCGAAAGCCAGGGGAGCAAACGGGAUUAGAUACCCCGGUAGUCCUGGCCCUAAACGAUGGGUACUGAGUAGUGGACUUGCAUGGGUUCACUGCUGAAGCAAAAGUGGUAAGUACCCCGCCUGGGGAGUAUGGUCGCAAGGCUGAA